UACAUAGGUGGCAAGCGUUAUCCGGAUUUACUGGGUGUAGAGGGCGCGUAGGCGGGGGUGCAAGUCAGGUGUGAAAUCUAUGGGCUUAACUCAUAAACUGCACUUGAAACUGUAUCUCUUGAGUGCUGGAGAGGUAGACUGAAUUCCUUGUGUAGCGGUGAAAUGCGUAGAUAUAAGGAAGAACACCAGUGGCGAAGGCGGUCUUCUGGACAGUAACUGACGCUGAGGCGCGAAAGCGUGGGGAGCAAAC
RNAcentral lists this ribosomal RNA (250 nucleotides) under uncultured prokaryote. RNAcentral describes it as "partial 16S ribosomal RNA". It matches the Rfam family "Bacterial small subunit ribosomal RNA", at positions 524 to 773 of the family's 1533-position model. The record is from RNAcentral.